CCUCGGAUCAGGUAGGAUUACCCGCUGAACUUAAGCAUAUCAAUAAGCGGAGGAAAAGAAACCAACAGGGAUUGCCCCAGUAACGGCGAGUGAAGCGGCAACAGCUCAAAUUUGAAAUCUGGCCCUCGGGUCCGAGUUGUAAUUUGGAGAGGAUGCUUUUGGCGCGGCGCCGUCCGAGUUCCUUGGAACAGGACGCCAUAGAGGGUGAGAGCCCCGUACGGGCGGCCGCCUAGCCUUUGUAAAGCUCCUUCGACGAGUCGAGUAGUUUGGGAAUGCUGCUCAAAAUGGGAGGUAAAUUUCUUCUAAAGCUAAAUACCGGCCAGAGACCGAUAGCGCACAAGUAGAGUGAUCGAAAGAUGAAAAGCACUUUGAAAAGAGGGUUAAAAAGUACGUGAAAUUGUUGAAAGGGAAGCGCCUGUGACCAGACUUGCGGCCCGUGGAUCAUCCGGUGUUCUUCACCGGUGCACUCCGCGGGCUGCAGGCCAGCAUCGGUUUUCCUAGGGGGAUAAAGGUCGCGGGAACGUAGCUCCCUCGGGAGUGUUAUAGCCCGUGGCGUCAUGCCUCUGGGGGGACCGAGGAC
Molecule: ribosomal RNA, 580 nt
Filed under: Ophiostoma piceae
Lineage: Eukaryota; Fungi; Ascomycota; Sordariomycetes; Ophiostomatales; Ophiostomataceae
Description: eukaryotic LSU rRNA
Rfam family: Eukaryotic large subunit ribosomal RNA
Source: RNAcentral